Wyeomyia smithii (pitcher-plant mosquito) is the source of this 4651-nucleotide long non-coding RNA. RefSeq lists it as uncharacterized. The record is from RefSeq and is a predicted model, not a curated record. The transcript is spliced from 4 exons. NCBI's taxonomy places the organism in Eukaryota, Metazoa, Arthropoda, Insecta, Diptera, Culicidae.
ACAUUCAAUAGCAAGUGAGCAAGUAAACGGCAGAGACGUGUGUCCACGAGCGCGAACUCUCUCCCUUCCGAUGGACGGCUAGCAGGCAUGCAGGCAGGCAGACACGCGGCGACGGUCUGUUGAAGGAUCUCGUCUCGACGGCAGAAAACAGCAACUGGCAACCAUCGUAGCGUGCUCAGCGUCGUAUUAACAGUCAGCGGAUGCUAGCGAGCGUUUGAGAGAUUGUCCUUGUGCAAUCUGUGUUGGUGUCGCGCGCGUCCGAAGGGAGAGAGAGAGAGAGAGAUAACACAUUCGUCGUCUCAGGCGAGUGUGAUUGUGUGUGCUUGCGCCGUAGUCAAGCUCUCACGAGCAACCGAACGGAAGAGAGGCAAAUCUUAAUUUGCAUAUAUUUCUAUAUACGAAAAUUAUUUUUUCUUUUAAUAUUUCAUUCGGUGAUAACUUCAUUCUGGUGUGAAAUAAUUGCUUCGUAACUUUUUACAUCAUUAUGCUGUCUACUUUGUUUAUGCAUGCAUACGCGAAUCAGGCAGCGAGCGCAGCGGAGCCUUUUUUAGGCAGCUCGCGAGCUGCCGUUAACCAGCCUGCCUGGUUCGGGAGUAGCAGCGCGGGGUAAAUUGUUUGACGCGAUAUCUCAAGAAGUAGGACUGUUGUCCGUUUCGCAGUUGGCCACCUGUCCGUUUGGCAUAAGUGAAUUAUUGAGCAUAAUUCCAAAGCAAGUGGAUAUUAUCUUUCUUGGCGAGAAACUAAAUACUGUGAAAACCUUGUGACAGUGACGUUGGCUAGUUGGCAUCGAAAGUGCAGUGCGGAAUGUAGUGACCGACGACCGUUCGGGGUCAGAUGAAGAGGUUGUUGUUUAUUUUUGGGCCUUUGUCGUCACAUCGACCAAUGUGUGGAAGUUGUGCGUGAAAAAAGGAGCAAACAGCGUCCCUUUGUCGGUGGUGUUGCCGCUGUUUGCCACCCCUAGCAAAUCGGCAACUAGUCAGUCUGUCUGUCAGUCAAAAGCGAACAAAAAAAUGUUACGCUGGUGGACGAACGUGGAAACUAACCAGAAAGUGAAGCACAGUGAAAGGAUUGACCAAAACAAACAUCAGUCGCUACUUUCGGACAAACAGAGUCUCAGUCUCCUCUCUUCCUUGUACGCCGAUACUGUCGCUGAACGUAACCAAUAAGCAGCACAUAACAACAUCCUGGCACGGGGAAAAUGAUGAUAUGAAAAAACUGUUUGCCGAUUUAUUUAUGUUUGGCUGUUUCGGGCUUUUCCUGUCCGGUUGCGCGUCGAGAGUUUCGAUCCGGCAGUCACUCGUGUGGAUUACUACGAAUUUCCAAUGCUGAAUCUCGCAAGCACUACUGCUGCUAGAAGCGUUAUGAAUUCAUCGUGAUUUUACAAUUCAAGACUUAUAUUUCGAGAGGAUUUGGUUCCUUCCUGAAAAAAAAAACAGCAGCACACUUGAUAGAAUUUGGUUAACAACGGCCCGCAAUAAGCAACAACCGAAUCGCAAGCAUGAAUCAAAAAGCUGACAGCUACAGCAUUGUGGACCACGACUUCGAAGCCCUUCUGUCUGCCGUGCCAAUCGGGAACAGGAGUCUUCAUCAAACAUUGAUAAAAGCAAGGAUUAGAAGAAACUAAUACUGAUGUUAUUCAAUGCGGACAACAACAGCAACAACUCUAACAUCAGAAAAAAAGAGCAAAACAACAAUAAUGCAGAAGGCAUAAUCUAAAAAUGAGAAGAAGAAGAAGAAGAAGAAGAAGAAGAAGCAAAAACAGAAGCGAAAAAAUGCAACAAUUAAGUUCCUACUCUAACACAUAGAUAAAAAUAUACGUUAUAAACGAGAGUGUAAUGUAAUUGUAAUCUUAGGUCGCAACGAUGCGGAAGUUUGCUCGGCGUCUCACCCAUACAGGUUUGCUUCCGGCCACCUCGGCCCUGAUGGGUAGCGCAACUGUAAAGUUAAAAGACUGAUCCGCGCCCUGGCAGGCUGAAAUCUUUGCGAUCUCACCAGGAAAAGAAUGUGAAUUUGGCAGCACUGGCGUAACGAUUUCGCAUGCAGCGAUAUUCGCCAGAGAAUCAUCGUUUCUGUAGCAAUCGCGAACCGUGUGGCAGUGUUGCUAAAUUAAAUGCUUUUUGUUUGUGAUAAAACCUUGAUGCAGCUCUCGCCAGGGGCGCCAGUUUUGCACCUCGCUUGCUCCCACUACCGAGACCGGACUGUGUGUGUCAGGAGACUUCCGAUUAUGAUAAAAAAAAAUACAAUACUUGUAAAAUUUAUUGAUUUAAAAGGUGACAUUGUAUUCGUGCAUAGAAAUGAAAACAUAAGUUCUGCGUUUUGAAAUAUGCAGCAAACACUAGUUUUUUUAUAUAGCAUGGAUUGAAAAGCAGAAUAUACUUGACAAGGGCAAAGUGUAAUUCGAUUGUUUCGAAACUGUUGAAGGGACUUUUUGCAAGCGUAGAGCGAGCGAAGUUUUGAUCACAAAAAUACUUGAGCGUAGAAGUUAUAUAGAACUAGCGAGUUUCGGUGCCAACUUGUAGAAAGCAGUAUCUUAUCAAAUAUUGAAAGUGACAAGAGUAACACUAACUGAUGAUACUCAAUGUAGUUGGCUUAAAGCUUUAUUUUAAUUAAAAAUCAAACGAAAAUGAUUAAAAAAAUAUAAAAGUAAAAAUACAAAAAAAUGUGUGCGUAGAUGGAAGUUAUCUAAUAUAGGUCAGCGAAAAAAACUCAAUCGCUUAGUGUACUUAUCAACGUGCAAUGUUCAUACUAUUGAAUACGAUACAACUCAUGGUUGUCGUUUGCGAGGCGUCAACAAUGGUUUAAACUCAAACACUUUUCCUGAAGUCGACAGGAAAAGAGUUUCAAGUUUUGUCACCAAACAAAAAAAAUCAAAUCUAUUUACCGAAAAUGUUUGAGCGUAAGCAAGUGUAUAAUAAAAAUAAAAGUUCCUAAACAGUCCGUCUCCUUUCACGGAGCGACUAAACUACUAUUCUUAGUGUCAUAGAAUUAUCGAUCCUGUAGUUGAAAACCGGCGGCAUCCAACGCACUCGCUUUUCACAGAAUUCGUUCCUCCAAAGCAAAAUUUUGUGGUCAAAUCAUCAAUCGUGAUUGCAUCAAAAAGUUCAUAACUUUUUUUCCUUAAGCUUAUUAGGCAAGCGUUUUAAAGGUCGCACUCUGAGAAAAAAAAACAAUCAUCCUGAAGGUAUCCAGAAAUUCUGAUUGGCCGAAUUAGAAACCAUUUUGUUGUUGAGUUCGUUAAUUUUCGAUUGAAAGAGAGAAAAAAACAUAAACCAAAACAAAGUACUCGCGUGAACAACAAUAAUAGCGUUUAGAGAAGUCUGCAGGCGAACCAAAAAUUAUCAGAAUUAAAAAUUGAGGAGAUGCGAAACGAUUUUUGUUCGUACGAAAAAAAUACUAUUGAGAGUAAUAUGAGAGAAAAAACGAAAAGACUCGACAUAUCAUGAAUGUUUAAUUUUGUCCUCGCAAAAUUUUUUAACACUUAAACACACACUAACGAUUGUGCUCAGAACCAGUUGCGCCACCUAACCGUGCAGUUUUAUCAUCAUUCAUAGCUACUUAACUACUAAAACUACCGUAACAGAAUGACAGAACUACAAGUGGCAUAUUUAUAUAUACCUAAUCGAUGUUUCAACUAGUGCUCACCAGAUAUCUCCCUGGUCGUCACGAACGAAAGGAGGUGAUUCUCCCCUCUACAACACGGUUUUGUUUCCUAAUCUAGUUAUAUGCAUUUAAACAAUGCACUACAAAACUACUACAAAGUUCCUGUCGGCUCUGGCUGCGAUGGCGGAGCCCAGUUUGUUUCUCCAUUUUAUUUCUGUUACUCCUUAUCGGUUGAAAUCGACAGUUAUUCAAAUGGACACUCAGGGGUAAGCAAAACAUAAGCAAUAGGUCACUGUUUGAGUGUCCCAUUUGAAAAGUGUAGAUUUUGCAUUUCGAAACUGUGUAUGCUUGCUAUCAUCAUGCCAGUUUCUUUGGCAAUGUCGUUGAUGAUAUCGACCAUACACAAUAUAUUCCUGAAGAAAACGAAACAAAAAUAUUGAUUAAAGUUCCUAACGGCAAAAGUUUGUUUUUAUUACAGGUUUGUUUUCAUGAGUGUAACUUAUGUUUUAUGCUUCAUUAAGUUUUUCUGAAACAAAAUCUUUGUGCAAUUUCUACCACUCCCCAAUUCCCUCAUACUACAACGUUGACGAGUGAAUAGCUAUUGUUUUCCAGUAGAAGCAAGCAGGCACUAUCUACAUUUAGAAACGCGGACAUGAGAACCCGAGUUUGCAACCAGAACAGAAACACAACAUUCAACAUGAUAUGAUAUGCAUACUAUUUUAAAUACUCAUUAUUCCCAUUAUUACUGAAAGUAAGCAGAAUUUUUCCAAGAACUGUAAGAAAGACAGGAAUGCAUUAAGAUGGAAGAACAUCAAUUAGUACGUUUGUCAGCUGCUGCGACGGUCGACGAAUGUAAACGAGUGCGAUAAAUCCUUGCUAUUUGAGUAAAACCAAGCUGCAGUUAGUACUUGAAGGUACGGUAACACACACACAACUACUAUUAUUAAAACUAUUGCAAGAUUACAAGAAAACAAACAAUUGUAAAAGAUAUAUUGUCAGAUGUAAAAGUAAAUAGAACAUAAAUAAUAAUAAAAACUUAUUUGGCAGUCAA